GCGGGUAUGGUUUAGUGGCAGAAUGGUUGCUUCCCAAGCAACAGACCCGGGUUCGAUUCCCGGUACCCGCA
Non-coding RNA from Candidatus Kaiserbacteria bacterium, 71 nucleotides. NCBI's taxonomy places the organism in Bacteria, Candidatus Kaiseribacteriota. The record is from Rfam.